UACGGAGGGUGCAAGCGUUGUUCGGAAUCACUGGGCGUAAAGGGCGUGUAGGCGGUCUGUUAAGUCUGAUGUGAAAGCCCGGGGCUCACCCCCGGAAGUGCAUUGGAUACUGGCGGACUCGAGUCUCGGAGAGGAGGGUGGAAUUCCAGGUGUAGCGGUGAAAUGCGUAGAUAUCUGGAGGAACACCGGUGGCGAAGGCGGCAUCCUGGACCAACACUGACGCUGAGUGAGCGAAAGCCAGGGGAGCAAACGGG
Molecule: ribosomal RNA, 254 nt
Filed under: uncultured bacterium
Lineage: Bacteria
Description: partial 16S ribosomal RNA
Rfam family: Bacterial small subunit ribosomal RNA
Source: RNAcentral